This 2932-nucleotide ribosomal RNA is filed under the name Enterobacter roggenkampii. Its description in RNAcentral is "23S ribosomal RNA". It matches the Rfam family "Bacterial large subunit ribosomal RNA". Lineage: Bacteria; Pseudomonadati; Pseudomonadota; Gammaproteobacteria; Enterobacterales; Enterobacteriaceae. The record is from RNAcentral.
GGGUUGUGAGGUUAAGCGACUAAGCGUACACGGUGGAUGCCCUGGCAGUCAGAGGCGAUGAAGGACGUGCUAAUCUGCGAAAAGCGCCGGCGAGGUGAUAUGAACCUUUGACCCGGCGAUGUCCGAAUGGGGAAACCCAGUGUGAUUCGUCACACUAUCGUUAACUGAAUACAUAGGUUAACGAGGCGAACCGGGGGAACUGAAACAUCUAAGUACCCCGAGGAAAAGAAAUCAACCGAGAUUCCCCCAGUAGCGGCGAGCGAACGGGGAGCAGCCCAGAGUCUGAAUCAGCUUGUGUGUUAGUGGAAGCGUCUGGAAAGUCGCACGGUACAGGGUGACAGUCCCGUACACGAAAGCACACAGGUUGUGAACUCGAAGAGUAGGGCGGGACACGUGGUAUCCUGUCUGAAUAUGGGGGGACCAUCCUCCAAGGCUAAAUACUCCUGACUGACCGAUAGUGAACCAGUACCGUGAGGGAAAGGCGAAAAGAACCCCGGCGAGGGGAGUGAAAAAGAACCUGAAACCGUGUACGUACAAGCAGUGGGAGCACCUUCGUGGUGUGACUGCGUACCUUUUGUAUAAUGGGUCAGCGACUUAUAUUCUGUAGCAAGGUUAACCGUAUAGGGGAGCCGAAGGGAAACCGAGUCUUAACUGGGCGUUAAGUUGCAGGGUAUAGACCCGAAACCCGGUGAUCUAGCCAUGGGCAGGUUGAAGGUUGGGUAACACUAACUGGAGGACCGAACCGACUAAUGUUGAAAAAUUAGCGGAUGACUUGUGGCUGGGGGUGAAAGGCCAAUCAAACCGGGAGAUAGCUGGUUCUCCCCGAAAGCUAUUUAGGUAGCGCCUCGUGAACUCAUCUUCGGGGGUAGAGCACUGUUUCGGCUAGGGGGCCAUCCCGGCUUACCAACCCGAUGCAAACUACGAAUACCGAAGAAUGUUAUCACGGGAGACACACGGCGGGUGCUAACGUCCGUCGUGAAGAGGGAAACAACCCAGACCGCCAGCUAAGGUCCCAAAGUCAUGGUUAAGUGGGAAACGAUGUGGGAAGGCACAGACAGCCAGGAUGUUGGCUUAGAAGCAGCCAUCAUUUAAAGAAAGCGUAAUAGCUCACUGGUCGAGUCGGCCUGCGCGGAAGAUGUAACGGGGCUAAACCAUGCACCGAAGCUGCGGCAGCGACACUUAUGUGUUGUUGGGUAGGGGAGCGUUCUGUAAGCCGUUGAAGGUGUGCUGUGAGGCAUGCUGGAGGUAUCAGAAGUGCGAAUGCUGACAUAAGUAACGAUAAAGCGGGUGAAAAGCCCGCUCGCCGGAAGACCAAGGGUUCCUGUCCAACGUUAAUCGGGGCAGGGUGAGUCGACCCCUAAGGCGAGGCCGAAAGGCGUAGUCGAUGGGAAACAGGUUAAUAUUCCUGUACUUGGUGUUACUGCGAAGGGGGGACGGAGAAGGCUAUGUUAGCCGGGCGACGGUUGUCCCGGUUUAAGCAUGUAGGCGGAGGUUCCAGGUAAAUCCGGUACCUUUUAACGCUGAGGUGUGAUGACGAGGCACUACGGUGCUGAAGUAACAAAUGCCCUGCUUCCAGGAAAAGCCUCUAAGCAUCAGGUAACAUCAAAUCGUACCCCAAACCGACACAGGUGGUCAGGUAGAGAAUACCAAGGCGCUUGAGAGAACUCGGGUGAAGGAACUAGGCAAAAUGGUGCCGUAACUUCGGGAGAAGGCACGCUGAUAUGUAGGUGAAGCCCCUGCGGGUGGAGCUGAAAUCAGUCGAAGAUACCAGCUGGCUGCAACUGUUUAUUAAAAACACAGCACUGUGCAAACACGAAAGUGGACGUAUACGGUGUGACGCCUGCCCGGUGCCGGAAGGUUAAUUGAUGGGGUUAGCGGCAACGCGAAGCUCUUGAUCGAAGCCCCGGUAAACGGCGGCCGUAACUAUAACGGUCCUAAGGUAGCGAAAUUCCUUGUCGGGUAAGUUCCGACCUGCACGAAUGGCGUAAUGAUGGCCAGGCUGUCUCCACCCGAGACUCAGUGAAAUUGAACUCGCUGUGAAGAUGCAGUGUACCCGCGGCAAGACGGAAAGACCCCGUGAACCUUUACUAUAGCUUGACACUGAACACUGGUCCUUGAUGUGUAGGAUAGGUGGGAGGCUUUGAAGUGUGGACGCCAGUCUGCAUGGAGCCGUCCUUGAAAUACCACCCUUUAAUGGCUGGUGUUCUAACGUAGACCCGUGAUCCGGGUUGCGGACAGUGUCUGGUGGGUAGUUUGACUGGGGCGGUCUCCUCCCAAAGAGUAACGGAGGAGCACGAAGGUUAGCUAAUCCUGGUCGGACAUCAGGAGGUUAGUGCAAUGGCAUAAGCUAGCUUGACUGCGAGAGUGACGGCUCGAGCAGGUGCGAAAGCAGGUCAUAGUGAUCCGGUGGUUCUGAAUGGAAGGGCCAUCGCUCAACGGAUAAAAGGUACUCCGGGGAUAACAGGCUGAUACCGCCCAAGAGUUCAUAUCGACGGCGGUGUUUGGCACCUCGAUGUCGGCUCAUCACAUCCUGGGGCUGAAGUAGGUCCCAAGGGUAUGGCUGUUCGCCAUUUAAAGUGGUACGCGAGCUGGGUUUAGAACGUCGUGAGACAGUUCGGUCCCUAUCUGCCGUGGGCGCUGGAGAAUUGAGGGGGGCUGCUCCUAGUACGAGAGGACCGGAGUGGACGCAUCACUGGUGUUCGGGUUGUCAUGCCAAUGGCACUGCCCGGUAGCUAAAUGCGGAAAAGAUAAGUGCUGAAAGCAUCUAAGCACGAAACUUGCCCCGAGAUGAGUUCUCCCUGAGACUUUAAGUCUCCUGAAGGAACGUUGAAGACGACGACGUUGAUAGGUCGGGUGUGUAAGCGCAGCGAUGCGUUGAGCUAACCGAUACUAAUGAACCGUGAGGCUUAACCUUACAACGCCGAAGGUGUUU